This 119-nucleotide ribosomal RNA is filed under the name Pteropus alecto (black flying fox). The record is from RNAcentral. Lineage: Eukaryota; Metazoa; Chordata; Mammalia; Chiroptera; Pteropodidae.
GUCUACGGCUAUGCUAACCUGAACAAGCCCAAUCCUGUCUGAUCUCGGAAGCUAAGCAAGGUGGGGCCUGGUUAGUACUUGGAUAGGAGACCACCUAGAAAGACCAGGUGCUGUGGGUA